UACAGAGGGGGCAAGCGUUAUUCGGAAUUAUUGGGCGUAAAGGGCGCGUAGGCGGUUUUUUAAGUCGGAUGUGCAAUCCCCAGGCUCAACCUGGGAACUGCAUCCGAGACUGGAAGGCUAGAGUACUGGAGAGGGUGGUGGAAUUCCUCGUGUAGCGGUGAAAUGCGUAGAUAUGUGGAGGAAUACCGGUGGCGAAGGCGGCCUCCUGGCUUAAUACUGACGCUGAGGUGCGAAAGCGUGGGGAGCAAACAGG
This 253-nucleotide ribosomal RNA is filed under the name uncultured bacterium. RNAcentral's name for it is "partial 16S ribosomal RNA". It matches the Rfam family "Bacterial small subunit ribosomal RNA", at positions 524 to 776 of the family's 1533-position model. The record is from RNAcentral.